Molecule: ribosomal RNA, 407 nt
Filed under: uncultured bacterium
Lineage: Bacteria
Description: partial 16S ribosomal RNA
Rfam family: Bacterial small subunit ribosomal RNA
Source: RNAcentral
AUUGAACGCUGGCGGCAGGCCUAACACAUGCAAGUCGAGCGGAUCGGGGGAGGGGGGAGUGAUGGCUAGGAAUCUGCCUGGUAGUGGGGGAGAAGGAUCGGAAAUGGGAGCGAAUACUGAAAACUAUUAGAUGAGGAUAGGCCGGAUUAGCUAGUUGGUGGGGUAAAGGCAUACCAAGGCGACGAUCCGUAACUGGUCUGAGAGGAUGAUCAGUCACACUGGAACUGAGACACGGUCCAGACUCCUACGGGAGGCAGCAGUGGGGAAUAUUGGACAAUGGGCGAAAGCCUGAUCCAGCCAUGCCGCGUGUGUGAAGAAGGUCUUCGGAUUGUAAAGCACUUUAAGUGGGGAGGCGUUACCAGCAGAAUAAGCACCGGCUAACUCCGUGCCAGCAGCCGCGGUAAUUC